Non-coding RNA from Hordeum vulgare subsp. vulgare (domesticated barley), 100 nucleotides. The record is from Rfam. Lineage: Eukaryota; Viridiplantae; Streptophyta; Magnoliopsida; Poales; Poaceae.
CCACUUAAAGUGAGAGUUAGAUGAAACUGAACCAACCUCCAGUCGACCGCCUGUUGAUUGAUUCAGGGUUCAGUUUCCUCUAAUAUCUCACCUUGAAUGG